UACGUAGGGUGCAAGCGUUAAUCGGAAUUACUGGGCGUAAAGCGUGCGCAGGCGGUUUUGUAAGUCUGUCGUGAAAUCCCCGGGCUCAACCUGGGAAUUGCGAUGGAGACUGCAAGGCUAGAAUCUGGCAGAGGGGGGUAGAAUUCCACGUGUAGCAGUGAAAUGCGUAGAUAUGUGGAGGAACACCGAUGGCGAAGGCAGCCCCCUGGGCUAAGAUUGACGCUCAUGCACGAAAGCGUGGGGAGCAAACAGG
RNAcentral lists this ribosomal RNA (253 nucleotides) under uncultured bacterium. Its description in RNAcentral is "partial 16S ribosomal RNA". It matches the Rfam family "Bacterial small subunit ribosomal RNA", at positions 524 to 776 of the family's 1533-position model. The record is from RNAcentral.